GGGUCAGUAGGUUGGUCGUGCCACCGGUACGUACUGGUCUCACUGAUUCCUCCUUCCUGAAGAACCGUAAUGCCAUUAAUUUGGUGUUGCGGGGAAACAGGACUGUUACUUUGAAGAAAUUAGAGUGUUUAAAGCAAGCUAACGCUUGAAUACAUUAGCAUGGAAUAAUGAAAUAGGACGAUCGAUCCUAUUUUGUUGGUUUCUAGGAUUGACGUG
This 216-nucleotide ribosomal RNA is filed under the name Glomeromycotina sp. Its description in RNAcentral is "partial small subunit ribosomal RNA". The stretch from base 40 to 216 matches the Rfam family "Eukaryotic small subunit ribosomal RNA", at positions 686 to 864 of the family's 1831-position model. The record is from RNAcentral. Lineage: Eukaryota; Fungi; Glomeromycota.